This is a long non-coding RNA of Vicia villosa (hairy vetch), 954 nucleotides long. RefSeq lists it as uncharacterized. Lineage: Eukaryota; Viridiplantae; Streptophyta; Magnoliopsida; Fabales; Fabaceae. The transcript has 3 exons. The record is from RefSeq and is a predicted model, not a curated record.
GCCAAAGCGAAAGAAAAGCUAGAGGAUGCACUAAGUGAUUCGACACCUCAUAUGGAAUGGAGUAUAAGUGCACUUUGCAUCACACAACAGUUACUGUUAAAGUUCUCCACUCAACCGGAAUCAGCUAAAGCAAGCAAUUCCAGUGGGAGUUAGAGAUAUUGAGCUGAAUUCGUCAUCCAAACUUGCUUCUUCUUCUUGGUGCCCGAUCACGGUUGCCUUGUGUACGAAUACAUGGAGAACGAUAGAACUUGCUUCUUCUAGGAAACAUAUGUUUAUGCUUUUGGAUUAGUCACGUUACAGUUGACAGGGAAACCACCGAGACAACAGUUACUCAUGUGGGUGAAAGAGCGAUAGAAGGUGGUAACUUAACCGAUAUGUUGGAUCAAAAAGCAGGUUCAUGGCCAUUUCAAGAGACAUUAGACGUUUCGGUUAGCUUUGAGUUGUUCGGAGCUUCGGCGCAGAGACCGACUUGAGUUGUUAGAACAACACAGGAGAAGCUGAAAGAAGUUGCUGAUAACGCUCAUCAUUCCGCACCAAUGGUUACAAUUAUGAAUAUUUUAGGAUGUGAAGGACGAUUUGUGCCUUGCUGCAGACGGAUAUAUGUAAGUUUGACCAAAAAGCAAUUGAAACAUGGCUUGAAGAGAAUGAGAAAUCACCAAUGACAAACAUGGCUUUGCCUCAUAAGUUUUUAAUUCCAAAUUACACACUUUUAUCAGCAAUUUUAGAGUGGAAGUUCAAAGAAAUAUGAUAUUACGGUGUUUAUUUUUCAAUGUUGGUAUUUGAGUUAAUUAGUUUUUCUUGUGUAGAUUGGCUUAAAGAUUAUUUGUGUAGGUCUGUAGGACAUGUAAUACAGUGUCUUGGAUGCAGAUUUUGUUUAGGGAGAUUAAUUUUGCAUUGUAGAUGAAUUUGAUCAUAUGGUCUGAUUUUGUAUGUAAUAUAUAUUAUAGUUUCUAU